AUUGAACGCUGGCGGCAUGCUUUACACAUGCCAGUCGAACGGCAGCGCGGGCUUCGGCCUGGCGGCGAGUGGCGAACGGGUGAGUAAUGCAUCGGAACGUGCCCAGUAGUGGGGGAUAGCCCGGCGAAAGCCGGAUUAAUACCGCAUACGACCUGAGGGUGAAAGCGGGGGACCGAAAGGCCUCGCGCUAUUGGAGCGGCCGAUGUCGGAUUAGCUAGUUGGUGGGGUAAAGGCUUACCAAGGCGACGAUCCGUAGCUGGUCUGAGAGGACGACCAGCCACACUGGGACUGAGACACGGCCCAGACUCCUACGGGAGGCAGCAGUGGGGAAUUUUGGACAAUGGGGGCAACCCUGAUCCAGCCAUGCCGCGUGCGGGAAGAAGGCCUGCGGGUUGUAAACCGCUUUUGUUCGGGAAGAAAUCCUCUGGGCUAAUACCCCGGGGGGAUGACGGUACCGGAAGAAUAAGCACCGGCUAACUACGU
RNAcentral lists this ribosomal RNA (483 nucleotides) under uncultured bacterium. RNAcentral describes it as "partial 16S ribosomal RNA". It matches the Rfam family "Bacterial small subunit ribosomal RNA", at positions 28 to 506 of the family's 1533-position model. The record is from RNAcentral.